GAAAGAAAAAUUUGUAUGAUUAAGCAAGGCAGAAGCAACAACACUAUUUUUCUUGUUCCAAUUUACUACUUAUAUGCAUUUUAUGAACCAUUUGAAAAUACUUGGCAUACAGGCACUCAAAGCAAAACUGAGCCACAAUGAAAGUUCUUCCCAGAAAACUUUGUCAAAAAUUUUUAGAAACCUUUCCCUUCAUCACUACCUUCAAAACUGUCUAGUUGUAUGGUAAAGUUAAGAAGAUAAUAGUCAUA
RNAcentral lists this unclassified non-coding RNA (248 nucleotides) under Hevea brasiliensis (rubber tree). Lineage: Eukaryota; Viridiplantae; Streptophyta; Magnoliopsida; Malpighiales; Euphorbiaceae. The record is from RNAcentral.